ACAACUUGCUCUCUCAGCUGGACUUCUUUCUAUCUAACCAGAUACUUUCAAGAUCUGGGAGCUUCAGGUUCCUUGCUCCCUUGGCUUUGCCGUUGAUAACUUCCUGUCCAAUCCUACCAAAGUCUGGAACUGGAACAUCCAAGGGUUGCCCUUAGACGCCUUCUCUACUGAGAAUGGCAUCAUCAUCAAGCGAGGCCAUAGGAAGAAGUGUUUAAACUAUAAACUGAGGAGGAGAAAAUAUCUAGGAAAAGAGAAGAAAGUUGGCAAAACCAUGGUCUCCUUCUUCCUGAAUUUGUAACUUGGCCUACAAAGAAAGCAUCAGUCCUACUACACAGGAAGAGUCAACACUCGGAGGAGGCCUUCUGCACUUUGUCCUCUCCUUCUUUUCACUCCUCAUAAUGGGAAAGAAAUAAAUAACAGGAUAUCCAGUUUAGACUGAGGAUCAGAGAAGUCCUCUCUGAGGAAGUGCCUCUUAAGAUGAUGGCUGAAGAAGGCAUAUGAGUUAGCCCAAUGGACAAUGAAAGGAAAAUUACUGUAUUACAAGCAGAAAAAAACAACAUGUGAAUGCCUGGAGGCCCUGAGGCCCUUAGGUGAGAAACUGCUUGUCUGCAUGUGGUUCAGAGAAAACAAAUUAUAUAAAACGAAGUUAGCAGCGUCGGAAAGGUUUGUUAAGGAUUUUUUGUUUUAAGAUUUUGUAAGACCAC
Homo sapiens (human) is the source of this 704-nucleotide long non-coding RNA. RefSeq lists it as uncharacterized. The record is from RefSeq and is a predicted model, not a curated record. The transcript is spliced from 3 exons. NCBI's taxonomy places the organism in Eukaryota, Metazoa, Chordata, Mammalia, Primates, Hominidae.